GACGAACGCUGGCGGCGUGCUUAACACAUGCAAGUCGAACGGAAAGGCCCUGCUUUUGUGGGGUGCUCGAGUGGCGAACGCGUGAGUAACACGUGAGUAACCUGCCCUUGACUUUGGGGUAACUUCAGGAGACUGGGGCUAACACCGGAUAGGAGCUCCUGCUGCAUGGUGGGGGUUGGAAAGUUUCGGCGGUUGGGGAUGGACUCGCGGCUUAUCAGCUUGUUGGUGGGGUAGUGGCUUACCCAGGCUUUGACGGGUAGCCGGCCUGAGAGGGUGACCGGCCACAAUGGGACUGAGGGAGGGCCCAGAGUCCAACGGGAGGCAGCAGGGGAGAAUAUUGCACAAUGGGCGGAAGCCUGAUGCAGCAACGCCGCGUGCGGGAUGACGGCCUUCGGGGUGGAAACCGCUUUCGCCUGUGACGAAGCGUGAGUGACGGUAAUGGGUAAAGAAGCACCGGCUAACUACGUG
This 468-nucleotide ribosomal RNA is filed under the name uncultured bacterium. RNAcentral describes it as "partial 16S ribosomal RNA". It matches the Rfam family "Bacterial small subunit ribosomal RNA", at positions 28 to 507 of the family's 1533-position model. The record is from RNAcentral.